This is a non-coding RNA of Triticum urartu, 135 nucleotides long. The record is from Rfam. Lineage: Eukaryota; Viridiplantae; Streptophyta; Magnoliopsida; Poales; Poaceae.
UUUCUACUCCCUCCGUCCGAAAAUACUUGUCAUCAAAAUGGAUAAAAAGAGAUGUAUCUAAAACUAAAAUACGUCUAGAUACAUUUCCUUUUAUCCAUUUUGAUGACAAGUAUUUCCGGACGAAGGGAGUAUUUG